Molecule: ribosomal RNA, 440 nt
Filed under: uncultured bacterium
Lineage: Bacteria
Description: partial 16S ribosomal RNA
Rfam family: Bacterial small subunit ribosomal RNA
Source: RNAcentral
CCUACGGGUGGCAGCAGUGGGGAAUAUUGCACAAUGGGGGAAACCCUGAUGCAGCGACGCCGCGUGAGUGAAGAAGUAUUUCGGUAUGUAAAGCUCUAUCAGCAGGGAAGAAAAUGACGGUACCUGAUCAAGAAGCCCCGUCUAACUACGUGCCAGCAGCCGAGGGAAUACGUAGGGGGCAAGCGUUAUCCGGAUUUACUGGGUGUAAAGGGAGCGUAGACGGCAGCACAAGUCUGGAGUGAAAUGCCGGGGCUUAACCCCCGAACUGCUGUUGAAACUGUGCAGCUAGAGUGCAGGAGAGGUAAGCGGAAUUCGUAGUGUAGCGGUGAAAUGCGUAGAUAUUGGGAGGAACACCAGUGGCGAAGGCGGCUUACUGGACUGUAACUGACGUUGAGGCUCGAAAGCGUGGGGAGCAAACAGGAUUAGAUACCCCUGUAGUC